CAGUUUUCUCUUUUUUAUGAAUGCUCCCAUUAGAAAAUGCAUAAGGAUGUGGGUGAACUACAGCUCCCAGAAUCAUAGCUCAAUCAUCCCCAACCCCCGCCCCGUGUUCAAAGUUGGCCAAGUUGGGCUUGUAUGCCAAGUUUGGUUAACACCAUUUUUUUAACCAUGGUCUCACAUUCAUAGAAACGAUCACCUUCAACAUAUUUUGCCAUGUAAUUCUGGGUGUAAAUACUUUUUGGGAGGGGCACUACAUUUCUUAUUAUUUUGAGACAUAUUAAGAUCAUUUCUGUUUGAAAAUGAAAAUUGGGUGAAUAUUGUUCUAAAUUAAUCUGCUAGUCCAACUAGACUAUUGAAUCCUAGAAUCCCAGGGAAAGUGCAUCAUGUGUCCAACCUCCUAGGAAUUUUACUUUGGUGAGGCAUCAGCACUCUUGGGCAGGGAAGGCUAAAGACCUUCUAAAACAGUUGUUCUCAACCUGGGGUCCCCAGGUGUUUUUGGCCUACAACUCCUAGAAGUCCCAGCCACUUUACCAGCCAGUUUACCAGCUGUUAGGAUUUCUGGGAGUUGAAAGCCAAAAACAUCUGGGGACCCCAGGUUGAGAACCACUGUUCUAAAAUGGCACCUUCAAUGAUUCCAUUACAUUGAACUAGGGCAGUUAAAGUGGUGCCAAACUGCAUGAAUUCUACAGUGUAGAUACUGGGUUGUACAACCAGAGUACUGGGAUUUUGAGGGCUAUGACUCCAAAGUAGGGAUAUAAAUCUCUGCUUAUUUCAUUCCUGCCAUGUGAAUUUACACUGCCAUAUAAUCCAAUUCAAAGCAGAUAACCUGGGUUUUAUAUGGUAGUGUAGAAAGGGCCUAAGUCUUCAUACAUCAUUAACAUAUUUUGAUCAUUGUUUUUUAAUCAGCUAAUUCUUCUUCUUCUGUGUAGUUAUAUAUAUCUAAAAAAAUUAACAGCACACGGUUUGGAAAGCUUUGCCCUAGGAUGUUGCCAUGACAGUUAAAGUAAACUCUAAAAGUGUGCAGUGUAAAGGGGUUCCUAGUAACAUAGAAUAAAGCAAAUCCUACAUGCUUGAAGUCUCACUACUGCUUUAUAGCAUGUAUUGACCACUGCAAAAGACAGAAUGUUGGUGUAUAGAGAAUUUUUUGUUGCUGUUUAAUAAAGUUUUGGUGUGCUUAUGUUUUUGUGAUGUUUUUCUAUAGAUGAUAAAUCUGAUCUAAUUUUUUGAUGGAAAUGCUCUGCUCAUCAUUGUCAGAAGUUCUCGGUUUGAUUCAGUGUGUGGAUAGAAAGUAACUGAUGUAGGCAUAGUUUCCAGAAGUACAAGACCGUGAUCAGUCAUAAUUCAAGGUUAGGGGCACAGGAUCACUGUGAAAAUGGAACAAACUUAUUUAAAAUGAUAUAUUUUUAAUCUGGGAUACUCUUUAGGUCCUUAAGUGCAACUCUUUGGUCAACUUCUGCUGGAAAUUGGAGAACAGUAUUAGAAAAGUAAAUGAAGUCAUGUGGUGAAAGAUAAAUACAGUAUAUGGAUAAUUUUUGAUAAAAUGUGUUUCCUUAUAUUUGUAAAUGAAGAAAACUCUCUGUAUUAUCUGUCUAAACAUCAUCUGAAAUUCUGAAAAGACAUGUUAGCUGAUCCUAGGAUCCAAAGGAUACAUGCAAAUGUAAGUCCCUCACAUUCAGGUGUAGGGGCAAACGCUCCCUAUGAAAGGGAAAAACCAUGAAUUAAAAAUGCUAUUUUUUUAACUUGAGAGAACAUUUCUCUAGGAAUUUCUAGGUCCUCCACCAGAACUUGAUCAUAGAAUCACUCUGGAGAACUCACACAUUCCUAGAGAAAACAUUUUAAUCAAAUCUACAAAUAAUCAAAUCUGAAAAAGUCAAAUCUGCAAAUGGAUGUGUGCAUGACUGUAUUAUGUAAUUUUAAGACCUGUUAUUUGUGUCCUAUAGUAAUAAUACUAAUGACCUUUGAUUCUAUUUUUGUUUUUGUUUUAAAAUGGUGUGGCACUAUACUGAUUAUGAAAUAUCAGGUUGCAUAAUUGCAGCCAUAACUUCUGUUGAGAUAUUAUGACUUUUCUAUCCAGUAUUUCCAGGUGGAAAAGUGGAAAAUAGAUAUAAUAGUUCAAUGGUAUACUUUUUUGUUGCAAGAUUUUGUCAGAAUUCAAUUGUAUCUUGUUUUUCCAUGCACAUGUGCAUGUCUGUCUAGAUUUAUUAUUGAAGUAAAACAUUUGUGAAUUAAGCUCA
Long non-coding RNA from Anolis carolinensis (green anole), 2231 nucleotides. RefSeq lists it as uncharacterized. The record is from RefSeq and is a predicted model, not a curated record. NCBI's taxonomy places the organism in Eukaryota, Metazoa, Chordata, Lepidosauria, Squamata, Anolidae. The transcript is spliced from 2 exons.